GAUUCUAUACAAUAGGCCUUUAUGACAUUUGUCUCUUUCUGGUACAGAAUGUGACACAUGUAGGAAUAUAGUUAGGGAUAAGUCUGGUUUCUAGGGUUAGUUGCAAGAAGGGAGUUUUGAGAUAAGCCCUGGGAAAUGAUUCAGGGUAAGAAAGGAAUUGUGGGAGUCUAAAACUGAAAAUAACUGAACUAAACUUCCAUCUUGGAUUUCAUCUCUCUGCCUACAUUUCCAUCAAGCUGAAGAUGGGGGUUUGCUCUAAAACAUUCUUCCUGGAUAGCCAAGAUUUUGUGGAGAAAUCUUUGACAUCUAGGUAGAGGAUUAUUUGGAGGAAACCAAUUUUCCCUGAGUCUAAAUAUCAUCUUCUAGUGGUUCAGCUGCCAGAAUUCCUCUUGGCUAAGCUCUUAUAAUACAGAUUGUAAUCCAUCCAAGUCUUCUCAUCCUAUGCAACUAUUAUCCGGGAACUCUCCUAACUUCACCAUAAGAAGACUACUCAUUCUCUUGACAUUCUGAAGAUACAGGUUUUAUGGUCUCUGUCAAUGACAUGCUAGCAAGGUUACCUCUGAUAAUUCUUCCAGCUUUUGGAAGCUCAUAAGGGAAACACCGCUUUUCAAGAACCACAACAAAAACAACAACAGCCAGAAAAAAGGGAAAAAAAACCCCACUUUCAGAGAGUGCUAAAAUAUCAUUUCGGUCUUCGCAUGGAAGCAUGGCAAAAGGCAUAUUAAUGAAGUCAGGCAGACAGCUUAUACCAUUUGAUUUGUCCAUUUAGACCAAAAGGAUUUAGCACCUAGAUCUAAUGCUAGUAAAAUGGGUACGGGGGAAACCAAGGUAAACAUUUUGUGACCUGUGAAGCUUGAAAACGGAUGUAGUUGGUGCCAUUCAUUCAAUUCAGCAAGCAAGUACCAACUACCUACUAUGUGUCAGGUCAUGCACCGGUGCUAAAACAAAGAUGCAAUAUCUUGAGGAGAUUACAUUUACUUUAUUGCCUUAUAAAUACUUGGAAGGAAG
RNAcentral lists this long non-coding RNA (1008 nucleotides) under Monodelphis domestica (gray short-tailed opossum). Its description in RNAcentral is "lncRNA (ENSMODG00000035264.2)". Lineage: Eukaryota; Metazoa; Chordata; Mammalia; Didelphimorphia; Didelphidae. The record is from RNAcentral.